AGCGCCGCAAUAAGCUCCGUUUCUCUAGCGGGGUUCGCGCGCGCUUAGCACUCUCGGGGGCUCAAAGGAGGUAGGCGACAGCUGCUGCCCACUCUCGUCCCCUCCAGGCCGCAGCUCUCUGGCUCACUGCCGCCCCAAUCCCCCUGCCCACAUCCUCGGUUUUUUUUUUUUUCUUUCUCCCAAACCCCAAACAGGAAAUAGCUUGAGUCACAAUAAUACACAGGAGCAGCGGCCGAGGCCACUCGCCCCCGCCCAUUCCCGGGGCCGCCUCCAGCACUCCAGCUCCGUGAGGCGCCGCCGGCGACGCGCUCCAGGAGCGCGGGGGACACCCACCCAGCAACCCGCGCCGGGUCAGAGGCACCCAAGCGCCCGCCAGAGCCGUCCUCGCCCUGCGCCCGACUCCACCGACUGCGGCCGCCACCGGCCUCCAGCCCGACGUUUGAACCUUCACCUCACCAGACCCGGAGGAACACACCACGGCCCCCUGGAUCGCAGCCCUUCCAUCCCAGGGUGGUAAGCUCCCUGAGGAAGACUUGGACCUGUGGCUAGCACACUGGCCUGGUGCAAAGUACCACAUUACUGUCAUCUCCCUGUGAGUGGGAUUGGCAGCCCAGCUGUCCCUCCUGGUGCAAGUGCUCCCCGAAACCCAGGCUCGUGCCGGCAGACAGCCUGCUUUACCAGGUACUUGACUUUGUCUCUGGUUACUGGCUUUUCUCCACUAAAAGUUUGAUGUAAACUUCGUCACAUCCUGGAAGUCAAGACCACCAUUUUCUAUGUUGCUGAUAGAAAUUGUUUAAUAUCAAAGAAAAUUUAAUUGCAAUGGCCUAUUUCCAAAA
Molecule: long non-coding RNA, 836 nt
Filed under: Camelus dromedarius (Arabian camel)
Lineage: Eukaryota; Metazoa; Chordata; Mammalia; Artiodactyla; Camelidae
Description: lncRNA (ENSCDRG00005002482.1)
Source: RNAcentral